Molecule: ribosomal RNA, 657 nt
Filed under: uncultured bacterium
Lineage: Bacteria
Description: bacterial SSU rRNA
Rfam family: Bacterial small subunit ribosomal RNA
Source: RNAcentral
CGGGGAUGGAUUAGCGGCGGACGGGUGAGUAACACGUGGGCAACCUGCCUCAAAGUGGGGGAUAGCCUUCCGAAAGGAAGAUUAAUACCGCAUAACAUUAGUUUUUCACAUGAAAUACUAAUUAAAGGAGUAAUCCGCUUUGAGAUGGGCCCGCGGCGCAUUAGCUAGUUGGUGAGGUAACGGCUCACCAAGGCCACGAUGCGUAGCCGACCUGAGAGGGUGAUCGGCCACAUUGGAACUGAGACACGGUCCAGACUCCUACGGGAGGCAGCAGUGGGGAAUAUUGCACAAUGGGCGAAAGCCUGAUGCAGCAACGCCGCGUGAGUGAUGAAGGUCUUCGGAUUGUAAAGCUCUGUCUUUGGGGACGAUAAUGACGGUACCCAAGGAGGAAGCCACGGCUAACUACGUGCCAGCAGCCGCGGUAAUACGUAGGUGGCGAGCGUUGUCCGGAUUUACUGGGCGUAAAGGAUGCGUAGGCGGAUGUUUAAGUCAGAUGUGAAAAUCCCGAGCUUAACUUGGGAACUGCAUUUGAAACUGGAUAUCUAGAGUGCGGGAGAGGAGAAUGGAAUUCCUAGUGUAGCGGUGAAAUGCGUAGAGAUUAGGAAGAACACCAGUGGCGAAGGCGAUUCUCUGGACCGUAACUGACGCUGAGGCAUG